Molecule: ribosomal RNA, 815 nt
Filed under: uncultured bacterium
Lineage: Bacteria
Description: bacterial SSU rRNA
Rfam family: Bacterial small subunit ribosomal RNA
Source: RNAcentral
AGAGUUUGAUCAUGGCUCAGGACGAACGCUGGCGGCGUGCCUAAUACAUGCAAGUCGAACGGUCUUUUCUAUGGAAGCUUGCUUCCACUGAGAAGAUAGUGGCGAACGGGUGAGUAACACGUGGGUAACCUGCCCAUAAGAGGGGGAUAACAUCCGGAAACGGGUGCUAAUACCGCAUAGUUUUCUUGAUCGCAUGAUCGGGAAAGGAAAGACGGCCUUUGUGCUGUCGCUUAUGGAUGGACCCGCGGCGUAUUAGUUAGUUGGUGAGGUAACGGCUCACCAAGACGAUGAUACGUAGCCGACCUGAGAGGGUGAUCGGCCACAUUGGGACUGAGACACGGCCCAAUCUCCUACGGGAGGCAGCAGUAGGGAAUCUUCCGCAAUGGACGAAAGUCUGACGGAGCAACGCCGCGUGAGUGAAGAAGGUUUUCGGAUCGUAAAACUCUGUUGUCAGAGAAGAACAAGUUGGAGAGUAACUGCUCCAGCCUUGACGGUAUCUGACCAGAAAGCCACGGCUAACUACGUGCCAGCAGCCGCGGUAAUACGUAGGUGGCAAGCGUUGUCCGGAUUUAUUGGGCGUAAAGCGAGCGCAGGCGGUUCCUUAAGUCUGAUGUGAAAGCCCACGGCUCAACCGUGGAAGGUCAUUGGAAACUGGGGAACUUGAGUGCAGAAGAGGAGAGUGGAAUUCCAUGUGUAGCGGUGAAAUGCGUAGAUAUAUGGAGGAACACCAGUGGCGAAGGCGACUCUCUGGUCUGUAACUGACGCUGAGGCUCGAAAGCGUGGGGAGCAAACAGGAUUAGAUACCCUGGUAGUCC